GACGAACGCUGGCGGCGUGCUUAACACAUGCAAGUCGAACGGAAAGGCCCUGCUUUUGUGGGGUGCUCGAGUGGCGAACGGGUGAGUAACACGUGAGUAACCUGCCCUUGACUUUGGGAUAACUUCAGGAAACUGGGGCUAAUACCGGAUAGGAGCUCCUGCUGCAUGGUGGGGGUUGGAAAGUUUCGGCGGUUGGGGAUGGACUCGCGGCUUAUCAGCUUGUUGGUGGGGUAGUGGCUUACCAAGGCUUUGACGGGUAGCCGGCCUGAGAGGGUGACCGGCCACAUUGGGACUGAGAUACGGCCCAGACUGCUACGGGAGGAAGCAGUGGGGAUUAUUGCACAAUGGGCGGAAGCCUGAUGCAGCAACGCCGCGUGGGGGAUGACGGCCUUCGGGCUGGAAACCGUUUUCGCCUGUGACGAAGCGUGAGUGACGGUAAUGGGUAAAGAAGCACCGGCUAACUACGUG
This 468-nucleotide ribosomal RNA is filed under the name uncultured bacterium. Its description in RNAcentral is "partial 16S ribosomal RNA". It matches the Rfam family "Bacterial small subunit ribosomal RNA", at positions 28 to 507 of the family's 1533-position model. The record is from RNAcentral.